UACGGAGGGUGCAAGCGUUAAUCGGAAUUACUGGGCGUAAAGCGCACGCAGGCGGACUUUUAAGUGAGGUGUGAAAUCCCCGGGCUUAACCUGGGAAUUGCAUUUCAUACUGGGAGUCUAGAGUACUUUAGGGAGGGGUAGAAUUCCACGUGUAGCGGUGAAAUGCGUAGAGAUGUGGAGGAAUACCGAAGGCGAAGGCAGCCCCUUGGGAAUGUACUGACGCUCAUGUGCGAAAGCGUGGGGAGCAAACAGG
RNAcentral lists this ribosomal RNA (253 nucleotides) under uncultured bacterium. RNAcentral's name for it is "partial 16S ribosomal RNA". It matches the Rfam family "Bacterial small subunit ribosomal RNA", at positions 524 to 776 of the family's 1533-position model. The record is from RNAcentral.